Long non-coding RNA from Melitaea cinxia (Glanville fritillary), 475 nucleotides. RefSeq lists it as uncharacterized. NCBI's taxonomy places the organism in Eukaryota, Metazoa, Arthropoda, Insecta, Lepidoptera, Nymphalidae. The record is from RefSeq and is a predicted model, not a curated record. The transcript is spliced from 2 exons.
AUCUAUUUUCAUUAAAGAGUUCAUUCAUGCUCAGGAUUUUGACGCAGUUCCUUUCAUGGCGGCCCAGGAUAGUAAGCAUGUUGAGAGAACUUUCUCAGCCACAACCGAAGAACAAGUUAAAAAAAACUGUAUGUGUUCGAGAAUAUACGACCCAGUUUGCGGAACAAAUAACAAAUCCUACUACAAUCCUUGUCAGUUGGAAUGUGAUAAUCGGAACGGCACGGUGUCUAUCCGACAUCAAGGAAACUGUAUACCAUUUUGAUACUACUAUGCAGACCAAGUCCCAGACUUUAAAAUUUUCUUCAUUUUUUUUUUAAAUAUUAUCUGUAUAUUAAAUUGUUUAAACUUAAUUAUAAUAAAAAAAUAAUUUAAUGCUUUACGUAAAUUGUCAUCAAGUUUUACGCACACAGUUAAGUAAUAUUUAUUUUUAUCUUUUGUUUGUAUAUCUGACUGAAAAAAAAAAAUAAUUAUGAAA